This 69-nucleotide transfer RNA is filed under the name Sericostoma personatum. Its description in RNAcentral is "tRNA-Phe". Lineage: Eukaryota; Metazoa; Arthropoda; Insecta; Trichoptera; Sericostomatidae. The record is from RNAcentral.
ACUUAAAUAACUUAUAUACAUAGAGUAUUAUAUUGAAGAUAUAAGAGAAAUAAAAAUUAUUUUUAAGUA